UUUCUAGUGGCGGACGGGUGAGUAACGCGUGGGUAACCUGCCUUAUACAGGGGGAUAACAGUUAGAAAUGACUGCUAAUACCGCAUAAGACCACAGCACCGCAUGGUGCGGGGGUAAAAACUCCGGUGGUAUGAGAUGGACCCGCGUCUGAUUAGCUAGUUGGUAAGGUAACGGCUUACCAAGGCGACGAUCAGUAGCCGACCUGAGAGGGUGACCGGCCACAUUGGGACUGAGACACGGCCCAA
This 245-nucleotide ribosomal RNA is filed under the name uncultured bacterium. RNAcentral's name for it is "partial 16S ribosomal RNA". It matches the Rfam family "Bacterial small subunit ribosomal RNA", at positions 89 to 334 of the family's 1533-position model. The record is from RNAcentral.